GUGGGGAAUAUUGGACAAUGGGCGAAAGCCUGAUCCAGCCACGCCGCGUGUGUGAUGAAGGCCUUCGGGUCGUAAAGCACUGUGGGGAGGGAAGAACAGGCAACGGUAACGCGUUGCUCUGACGGUACCUCCUUAGCAAGCACCGGCUAACUCCGUGCCAGCAGCCGCGGUAAUACGGAGGGUGCAAACGUUGCUCGGAAUCAUUGGGCGUAAAGCGCGUGUAGGCGGCUUGUUAAGUCGGGUGUGAAAGCCCUGGGCUCAACCCAGGAAGUGCGCCCGAAACUGGCGAGCUAGAGUACGGGAGAGGGUAGUGGAAUUCCCGGUGUAGAGGUGAAAUUCGUAGAUAUCGGGAGGAACACCAGUGGCGAAGGCGGCUACCUGGACCGAUACUGACGCUGAGACGCGAAAGCGUGGGUAGCAAACAGGAUUAGAAACCCUAGUAGUCC
This 446-nucleotide ribosomal RNA is filed under the name uncultured bacterium. RNAcentral describes it as "bacterial SSU rRNA". It matches the Rfam family "Bacterial small subunit ribosomal RNA", at positions 354 to 796 of the family's 1533-position model. The record is from RNAcentral.